RNAcentral lists this ribosomal RNA (330 nucleotides) under uncultured bacterium. RNAcentral describes it as "bacterial SSU rRNA". It matches the Rfam family "Bacterial small subunit ribosomal RNA", at positions 568 to 899 of the family's 1533-position model. The record is from RNAcentral.
CGUGUAGGCGGUGCGGUAAGUUGGGCGUGAAAUCCCCGAGCUUAACUCGGGUGGGCCGUUCAAGACUGCCGUGCUAGGGUGCGGGAGAGGGAAGUGGAAUUUCCGGUGUAGCGGUGAAAUGCGUAGAUAUCGGGAGGAACACCUGCGGCGAAGGCGGCUUCCUGGACCGUAACCGACGCUGAGGCGCGAAAGCUAGGGGAGCAAACAGGAUUAGAUACCCUGGUAGUCCUAGCCCUAAACGAUGAGCACUGGGUGUGGUCCCUCGACGGGGCCGUGCCGAAGCUAACGCAUUAAGUGCUCCGCCUGGGGAGUACGGUCGCAAGGCUAGAA